AGCGAACGCUGGCGGCGUGCUUAACACAUGCAAGUCGAGCGAGAAAGUCCCGCAAGGGAUGAGUACAGCGGCGAACGGGUGCGUAACACGUGGGCAAUCUGUCCUUGAGACCGGAAUAACCCAGCGAAAGUUGGGCUAAUGCCGGAUAAGACCACGAGCAGACAUGUUUGCGGUCAAAGGGCGCUUCUUCUAGGAGCAUUCACUCACGGAGGAGCCCGCGGCCUAUCAGCUAGUUGGUAGGGUAACGGCCUACCAAGGCAAAGACGGGUAGGCUGGUCUGAGAGGAUGACCAGCCACACGGGGACUGAGACACGGCCC
This 318-nucleotide ribosomal RNA is filed under the name uncultured bacterium. RNAcentral's name for it is "partial 16S ribosomal RNA". It matches the Rfam family "Bacterial small subunit ribosomal RNA", at positions 29 to 332 of the family's 1533-position model. The record is from RNAcentral.